AGCCAGUGUGGCCUAGUAGUUUGAGUUUUCAACUAGGGCUCCAGGAGACCAGGGUUCAAAUCCCUGCUUGGUUA
Molecule: non-coding RNA, 74 nt
Organism: Phrynosoma platyrhinos (Desert horned lizard)
Lineage: Eukaryota; Metazoa; Chordata; Lepidosauria; Squamata; Phrynosomatidae
Source: the annotation of a GenBank genome assembly